GACAGAGGUGCCAAGCGUUAGGCGGAAUCACUGGGCUUAAAGCGUGUGUAGGCGGAAUUGUAAGUACCUUGUGAAAUCCCACAGCUCAACUGUGGAACUGCUCGGUAUACUGCUUUUCUUGAGCCACUUAGGGGCUGUCGGAACAAAUGGUGGAGCGGUGAAAUGCGUAGAUAUCCGAAGGAACGCCGGUGGCGAAAGCGGCGUGCUGGACACCUUCUGACGCUGAGGCACGAAAGCCAGGGGAGCAAACGGG
This 253-nucleotide ribosomal RNA is filed under the name uncultured bacterium. RNAcentral's name for it is "partial 16S ribosomal RNA". It matches the Rfam family "Bacterial small subunit ribosomal RNA", at positions 524 to 776 of the family's 1533-position model. The record is from RNAcentral.